AACCCAGUGCAAUUCGUUGCACUAUCGUUAACUGAAUACAUAGGUUAACGAGGCGAACCGGGGGAACUGAAACAUCUAAGUACCCCGAGGAAAAGAAAUCAACCGAGAUUCCCCCAGUAGCGGCGAGCGAACGGGGAGCAGCCCAGAGUCUGAAUCAGCUUGUGUGUUAGUGGAACGGUCUGGAAAGUCCGACGGUACAGGGUGAUAGUCCCGUACACCAAAAUGCACAGGUUGUGAACUCGAAGAGUAGGGCGGGACACGUGGUAUCCUGUCUGAAUAUGGGGGGACCAUCCUCCAAGGCUAAAUACUCCUGACUGACCGAUAGUGAACCAGUACCGUGAGGGAAAGGCGAAAAGAACCCCGGCGAGGGGAGUGAAAAAGAACCUGAAACCGUGUACGUACAAGCAGUGGGAGCACCUUCGGGUGUGACUGCGUACCUUUUGUAUAAUGGGUCAGCGACUUAUAUUCUGUAGCAAGGUUAACCGUAUAGGGGAGCCGCAGGGAAACCGAGUCUUAACUGGGCGUUAAGUUGCAGGGUAUAGACCCGAAACCCGGUGAUCUAGCCAUGGGCAGGUUGAAGGUUGGGUAACACUAACUGGAGGACCGAACCGACUAAUGUUGAAAAAUUAGCGGAUGACUUGUGGCUGGGGGUGAAAGGCCAAUCAAACCGGGAGAUAGCUGGUUCUCCCCGAAAGCUAUUUAGGUAGCGCCUCGUGAACUCAUCUUCGGGGGUAGAGCACUGUUUCGGCUAGGGGGUCAUCCCGACUUACCAACCCGAUGCAAACUACGAAUACCGAAGAAUGUUAUCACGGGAGACACACGGCGGGUGCUAACGUCCGUCGUGAAGAGGGAAACAACCCAGACCGCCAGCUAAGGUCCCAAAGUCAUGGUUAAGUGGGAAACGAUGUGGGAAGGCACAGACAGCCAGGAUGUUGGCUUAGAAGCAGCCAUCAUUUAAAGAAAGCGUAAUAGCUCACUGGUCGAGUCGGCCUGCGCGGAAGAUGUAACGGGGCUAAACCAUGCACCGAAGCUGCGGCAGCGACACUAUGUGUUGUUGGGUAGGGGAGCGUUCUGUAAGCCUGCGAAGGUGUGCUGUGAGGCAUGCUGGAGGUAUCAGAAGUGCGAAUGCUGACAUAAGUAACGAUAAAGCGGGUGAAAAGCCCGCUCGCCGGAAGACCAAGGGUUCCUGUCCAACGUUAAUCGGGGCAGGGUGAGUCGACCCCUAAGGCGAGGCCGAAAGGCGUAGUCGAUGGGAAACAGGUUAAUAUUCCUGUACUUGGUGUUACUGCGAAGGGGGGACGGAGAAGGCUAUGUUAGCCGGGCGACGGUUGUCCCGGUUUAAGCAUGUAGGCUGGUU
This 1357-nucleotide ribosomal RNA is filed under the name Klebsiella pneumoniae. Its description in RNAcentral is "partial 23S ribosomal RNA". It matches the Rfam family "Bacterial large subunit ribosomal RNA", at positions 125 to 1530 of the family's 2925-position model. The record is from RNAcentral. Lineage: Bacteria; Pseudomonadati; Pseudomonadota; Gammaproteobacteria; Enterobacterales; Enterobacteriaceae.